GGUCCUGUGGCGCAAUGGUAGCGCAGGGGACUUUUAAUCCCUUGGUUGUGGGUUCGACUCCCACCGGGACCACCG
This 75-nucleotide transfer RNA is filed under the name Bacteroidota bacterium. RNAcentral's name for it is "Bacteroidetes bacterium (freshwater metagenome) tRNA-Lys". It matches the Rfam family "tRNA". From Rfam's summary of the family: Transfer RNA (tRNA) molecules are approximately 80 nucleotides in length. Their secondary structure includes four short double-helical elements and three loops (D, anti-codon, and T loops). The record is from RNAcentral. Lineage: Bacteria; Pseudomonadati; Bacteroidota.